This 502-nucleotide ribosomal RNA is filed under the name uncultured bacterium. Its description in RNAcentral is "partial 16S ribosomal RNA". It matches the Rfam family "Bacterial small subunit ribosomal RNA", at positions 28 to 507 of the family's 1533-position model. The record is from RNAcentral.
GACGAACGCUGGCGGCGUGCCUAAUACAUGCAAGUCGAACGAACCGCGACUAAGUGCUUGCACUAAGUCAAGGUGAGUGGCGAACGGGUGAGUAACACGUGGGUAACCUACCUCAUAGUGGGGGAUAACAGUCGGAAACGACUGCUAAUACCGCAUAGGACAUAGGAUCACAUGAUCCAGUGAGGAAAUGUGGCGCAAGCUAUCGCUAAGAGAUGGACCCGCGGUGCAUUAGCUAGUUGGUAGGGUAAAGGCCUACCAAGGCGAUGAUGCAUAGCCGACCUGAGAGGGUGAUCGGCCACAUUGGGACUGAGACACGGCCCAAACUCCUACGGGAGGCAGCAGUAGGGAAUCUUCCGCAAUGGACGCAAGUCUGACGGAGCAACGCCGCGUGAGUGAAGAAGGUCUUCGGAUCGUAAAGCUCUGUUGUUAGAGAAGAACAGCGCAUAGAGUAACUGCUAUGCGUGUGACGGUAUCUAACCAGAAAGCCACGGCUAACUACGUG